GGCGGCUCGAGUGGUAACCGUUAUUAUUGGGUCUAAAGGGUCUGUAGCCGGCCGGAUAAGUCUCUUGGGAAAUCCAGCAGCUCAACUGUUGGGCUUUCAGGAGAUACUGUCUGGCUCGAGGCCGGGAGAGGUGAGAGGUACUUCAGGGGUAGGGGUGAAAUCUUGUAAUCCUUGAAGGACCACCAGUGGCGAAGGCGUCUCACCAGAACGGACCUGACGGCAAGGGACGAAAGCUAGGGGCACGAACC
This 248-nucleotide ribosomal RNA is filed under the name uncultured euryarchaeote. Its description in RNAcentral is "partial 16S ribosomal RNA". It matches the Rfam family "Archaeal small subunit ribosomal RNA", at positions 478 to 725 of the family's 1478-position model. The record is from RNAcentral. Lineage: Archaea; Methanobacteriati; Methanobacteriota.